GAAACUAACAAGGAUUCCCCUAGUAGCGGCGAGCGAAGCGGGAAGAGCUCAAAUUUAUAAUCUGGCACCUUCGGUGUCCGAGUUGUAAUCUCUAGAAGUGUUUUCCGCGUUGGACCGCACACAAGUCUGUUGGAAUACAGCGGCAUAGUGGUGAAACCCCCGUAUAUGGUGCGGACGCCCAGCGCUUUGUGAUACACUUUCAAUGAGUCGAGUUGUUUGGGAAUGCAGCUCAAAUUGGGUGGUAAAUUCCAUCUAAAGCUAAAUAUUGGCGAGAGACCGAUAGCGAACAAGUACCGUGAGGGAAAGAUGAAAAGCACUUUGGAAAGAGAGUUAACAGUACGUGAAAUUGUUGGAAGGGAAACGCUUGAAGUCAGACUUGCUUGCCGGAGCUUGCUUCGGUUUGCAGGCCAGCAUCAGUUUUCCGGGGUGGAUAAUGACGGUUUGAAGGUAGCAGUCUCGGCUGUGUUAUAGCUUUCCGUUGGAUACGCCCUGGGGGACUGAGGAACGCAGCGUGCUUUUUGCGAAAGACU
RNAcentral lists this ribosomal RNA (530 nucleotides) under Rhodotorula sp. 1 PN-2013. Its description in RNAcentral is "eukaryotic LSU rRNA". It matches the Rfam family "Eukaryotic large subunit ribosomal RNA", at positions 61 to 594 of the family's 3401-position model. The record is from RNAcentral. Lineage: Eukaryota; Fungi; Basidiomycota; Microbotryomycetes; Sporidiobolales; Sporidiobolaceae.